Molecule: ribosomal RNA, 640 nt
Filed under: uncultured bacterium
Lineage: Bacteria
Description: bacterial SSU rRNA
Rfam family: Bacterial small subunit ribosomal RNA
Source: RNAcentral
CGCGGCCUAUCAGCUUGUUGGCGGGGUAACGGCCCACCAAGGCAACGACGGGUAGCUGGUUUGAGAGAACGAUCAGCCACACUGGAACUGAGACACGGUCCAGACUUCUACGGAAGGCAGCAGUAGGGAAUCUUGCGCAAUGGGCGAAAGCCUGACGCAGCGACGCCGCGUGCGGGAUGACGGCCCUAGUGGUUGUAAACCGCUUUCAGCAGGGACGAAAAUGACGGUACCUGCAGAAGAAGUCCCGGCUAACUACGUGCCAGCAGCCGUGGUAAUACGUAGGGGACAAGCGUUGUCCGGAUUCAUUGGGCGUAAAGAGCUCGUAGGCGGUUCAGUAAGUUGGGCGUGAAAGCUCCGGGCUCAACCCGGAGAGGCCACUCAAUACUGCUGUGACUAGAGUCCAGUAGAGGAGCGUGGAACUCCUGGUGUAGCGGUGAAAUGCGCAGAUAUCAGGAAGAACACCGGCAGCGAAGGCGGCGCUCUGGGCUGGUACUGACGCUGAGGAGCGAAAGCAUGGGUAGUAAACAGGAUUAGAUACCCUGGUAGUCCAUGCCGUAAACGUUGGGCACUAGGUGUGGGGAGGAAUCAACCCUCUCCGUGCCGUAGCUAACGCAUUAAGUGCCCCGCCUGGGGAGUACGG